AACCUUUGGUUCCCUUUCCCAUUGGAUUUCAACACAGGUGUUAGUCAUCGUAAAGGAGGGAGAGCGUGCAGAAGCUGGCCUUGCAGCCUGGUAUAAGCAUGUGGGCUACAUUCAAACGGGG
Molecule: small nucleolar RNA, 121 nt
Filed under: Nannospalax galili (Upper Galilee mountains blind mole rat)
Lineage: Eukaryota; Metazoa; Chordata; Mammalia; Rodentia; Spalacidae
Description: Small nucleolar RNA SNORA61 (ENSNGAG00000002686.1)
Source: RNAcentral